ACCGUCCAGGCAUUUGAGCCGGUGGAAAUCAGAAAGGACGUCGAAUGUAAUGAACCGUUGGACGCCGUUAAAUGCUUACCAUCUCAAUGAUUUCCAGAACAUUGAAACCCCCUAUAUGGGGUACCUAUAUGGGGUAAACGACAUUUACAUUUUCACGGACCACCAACAGUUAACUUUUGCCAUUUCUGAGUCAAACCCGAACGCCAAAAUUAAAAGAUGGAUGACGCGCAUUGAGGAAACGAAUGCGCGAAUAUUUUAUAAGCCAGGCAAGGAGAAUUUAGUCGCUGAUGCGCUAUCGCAACAAAAGCUCAAUGCUCUUGACGAGCUGAAUACUAAUUCCUGCGCAGCCACAGUCCACAGCGAGCUGUCCUUGACCUAUACAAUUGAAACAACCAAAAAAUUGUUUCCAAAAUCAAAUGUUCAUUGAACAGGCACGCGUCCCCAACAAACGCAACUUCAUUCUUUUCGGAGAGAGGCGUCGUGAAGUGAGCUUCGCUGAUCGCACAGCUUUUCUAGAUAAACUCCUUGACUUGAUUAAUCCAAAUGCGGUUAAUGACCUCUAUUGCAACCUGCAUACAUUAUCACAGUUGAGCGUGGCUUAGUUCGCAUGUUUCCAGGCACAAAGUUCUGGCACUGCAAAAACCGAGUUGCAGAUGUCUUCAACGUUGACGAGAGGAGAGAAAUUCUCGUUGCCGAACAUACUAGAGCGCAUAGAGCAGGUCAAGAAAAUGUUAAGCAAGUGUUAUCAGAAUACUAUUUCCCUAAAAUGGCUAAGUUGGCUAAAGAAAUUGCGGAAAGUUGUAGAAUCUGCUAAUCAGUCAAAUACGAUAGGCACCAGAAAAGACAGGAGCUGGUAGAAACUUCGAUCCAUGAGACUCCUGGGGAAUUUCUACACAUUGAUAUAUUUCCCACGGACAAACAAUUUUUUUUGUCCUGUGUUGAUGACGAUGUUUGGUUAAGUAACCAUCAGAGACAACACCGACUGCGUGCAGUAACAGCAGAAGACAACAAUCAUACUUGCAAACUAGAGCAAAUAUUGUUUGGGAGCUGUUUGUAAGCUGCUGCCCAUUCUAUUUCGUAGGCCCUUUGCCUUCUGCACGAAUGCCCGCUGCCCACCGUUUUGAGCGCAGCUCCAUUUCGUUACAAGUCAUUAGUUUUUCAUUUGAUCGCAACCGAGGCACAACUAUUUCGAGUUGGCAAACAAUAUUAACAAUAAUUGCUAAUAAGUGUAAGUCGAAACACGAGGGAAGCGCAUGAGCCGCAAGCGGCCGUUGUGAAAAGCACACAAUAGCUUAGCACAAGCCCAACAAAAAGGCAUUUGAUAGCGACUUGUCACCAAGCAAGCGGGUUUGGGCAGCGAAGUAAGCCAACACCCAUAGACUUCAGCGAGGGAUCAUAAGAAAGCAUUCACGUCUGCAGCGUGGGAAGCAGUAGUUUUUAGACGUAGAGCAUACUGCCCUUGUAGGAUCAAAAAAAUCACAAGCCCAACAAAAAGGCAUUUGAUAGCGACUUGUCACCAAGCAAGCGGGUUUGGGCAGCGAAGUAAGCCAACACCCAUAGACUUCAGCGAGGGAUCAUAAGAAAGCAUUCACGUCUGCAGCGUGGGAAGCAGUAGUUUUUAGACGUAGAGCAUACUGCCCUUGUAGGAUCAAAAAAAUGUAAGUGGCCCAUCAUUUGGCACAAACUUUUUUCAAUAUGAUUGAUUUAUUUCAAAUAAAAUCCAAAGUCUGAAAUAUAAAAAAUUGCAGUAAUUGUGCUACCAACUAAUUUUGAGUAACACAAUUUUGCAUCCAUCAGCAAUUUUCAAUAAAC
Drosophila virilis is the source of this 1812-nucleotide non-coding RNA. The record is from RefSeq and is a predicted model, not a curated record. Lineage: Eukaryota; Metazoa; Arthropoda; Insecta; Diptera; Drosophilidae.